AGACUGGGAUAACUCCGGGAAACCGGGGCUAAUACCGGAUGCUUGUUUGAACCGCAUGGUUCAAACAUAAAAGGUGGCUUCGGCUACCACUUACAGAUGGACCCGCGGCGCAUUAGCUAGUUGGUGAGGUAACGGCUCACCAAGGCAACGAUGCGUAGCCGACCUGAGAGGGUGAUCGGCCACACUGGGACUGAGACACGGCCCAGACUCCUACGGGAGGCAGCAGUAGGGAAUCUUCCGCAAUGGACGAAAGUCUGACGGAGCAACGCCGCGUGAGUGAUGAAGGUUUUCGGAUCGUAAAGCUCUGUUGUUAGGGAAGAACAAGUACCGUUCGAAUAGGGCGGUACCUUGACGGUACCUAACCAGAAAGCCACGGCUAACUACGUGCCAGCAGCCGCGGUAAUACGUAGGUGGCAAGCGUUGUCCGGAAUUAUUGGGCGUAAAGGGCUCGCAGGCGGUUCCUUAAGUCUGAUGUGAAAGCCCCCGGCUCAACCGGGGAGGGUCAUUGGAAACUGGGGAACUUGAGUGCAGAAGAGGAGAGUGGAAUUCCACGUGUAGCGGUGAAAUGCGUAGAGAUGUGGAGGAACACCAGUGGCGAAGGCGACUCUCUGGUCUGUAACUGACGCUGAGGAGCGAAAGCGUGGGGAGCGAACAGGAUUAGAUACCCUGGUAGUCCACGCCGUAAACGAUGAGUGCUAAGUGUUAGGGGGUUUCCGCCCCUUAGUGCUGCAGCUAACGCAUUAAGCACUCCGCCUGGGGAGUACGGUCGCAAGACUGAAACUCAAAGGAAUUGACGGGGGCCCGCACAAGCGGUGGAGCAUGUGGUUUAAUUCGAAGCAACGCGAAGAACCUUACCAGGUCUUGACAUCCUCUGACAAUCCUAGAGAUAGGACGUCCCCUUCGGGGGCAGAGUGACAGGUGGUGCAUGGUUGUCGUCAGCUCGUGUCGUGAGAUGUUGGGUUAAGUCCCGCAACGAGCGCAACCCUUGAUCUUAGUUGCCAGCAUUCAGUUGGGCACUCUAAGGUGACUGCCGGUGACAAACCGGAGGAAGGUGGGGAUGACGUCAAAUCAUCAUGCCCCUUAUGACCUGGGCUACACACGUGCUACAAUGGACAGAACAAAGGGCAGCGAAACCGCGAGGUUAAGCCAAUCCCACAAAUCUGUUCUCAGUUCGGAUCGCAGCUUGCAACUUGACUGCGUUGCUGAAGGAAUCGCUAGUAAUCGCGGAUCAGCAUGCCGCGUUGAAGUACGUUCCCGGGCCUUGUACACACCGCCCGU
RNAcentral lists this ribosomal RNA (1278 nucleotides) under Bacillus mojavensis. RNAcentral describes it as "bacterial SSU rRNA". It matches the Rfam family "Bacterial small subunit ribosomal RNA", at positions 135 to 1397 of the family's 1533-position model. Lineage: Bacteria; Bacillati; Bacillota; Bacilli; Caryophanales; Bacillaceae. The record is from RNAcentral.